GUUCCGAGGGGUGCCUUCAUCUGCAAGGCUGAGAGGAUGGGCAAGGCCAUCCAACCCUUUGAACCUGAUCCGGUUCGUACCGGCGAAGGGACAGGAAAAU
RNAcentral lists this non-coding RNA (100 nucleotides) under uncultured Bombella sp. RNAcentral describes it as "TPP riboswitch (THI element)". It matches the Rfam family "TPP riboswitch aptamer (THI element)", at positions 6 to 96 of the family's 105-position model. From Rfam's summary of the family: Vitamin B(1) in its active form thiamin pyrophosphate (TPP) is an essential coenzyme that is synthesised by coupling of pyrimidine and thiazole moieties in bacteria. The previously detected thiamin-regulatory element, thi box was extended, resulting in a new, highly conserved RNA secondary structure, the THI element, which is widely distributed in eubacteria and also occurs in some archaea. Analysis of operon structures identified a large number of new candidate thiamin-regulated genes, mostly transporters, in various prokaryotic organisms. The record is from RNAcentral. Lineage: Bacteria; Pseudomonadati; Pseudomonadota; Alphaproteobacteria; Acetobacterales; Acetobacteraceae.